AUUUGAAAUCUGGCGCAAGCCCGAGUUGUAAUUUGUAGAGGAUGCUUCUGGGUAGCGGCCGGUCUAAGUUCCUUGGAACAGGACGUCAUAGAGGGUGAGAAUCCCGUAUGUGACUGGCUUGCACCCUCCACGUAGCUCCUUCGACGAGUCGAGUUGUUUGGGAAUGCAGCUCUAAAUGGGAGGUAAAUUUCUUCUAAAGCUAAAUACCGGCCAGAGACCGAUAGCGCACAAGUAGAGUGAUCGAAAGAUGAAAAGCACUUUGGAAAGAGAGUUAAAAAGCACGUGAAAUUGUUGAAAGGGAAGCGCCCGCAACCAGACUUUGCGGCAGUGUUCGGCCGGUCUUCUGACCGGUUUACUCGCUGUCGUGAGGCCAUCAUCGUCUGGGACCGCUGGAUAAGACCUUAGGAAUGUGGCUCCCCUCGGGGAGUGUUAUAGCCUCUGGUGAUGCAGCGCGUCUCGGGCGAGGUCCGCGCUUCGGCAAGGAUGAUGGCGUAAUGGUUGUCGGCGGCCCGUCUUGAAACACGGACCAAGGAGUCUAACAUCUAUGCGAGUGUUCGGGUGUCAAACCCCUACGCGUAAUGAAAGUGAACGGAGGUGGGAACUUUUUGUGCACCAUCGACCGAUCCUGAUGUCCUCGGAUGGAUUUGAGUAAGAGCAUAGCUGUUGGGACCCGAAAGAUGGUGAACUAUGCCUGAAUAGGGUGGAGCCAGAGGAAACUCUGGUGGAGGCUCGCAGCGGUUCUGACGUGCAAAUCGAUCGUCAAAUUUGGGUAUAGGGGCGGAAGACUAAUCGAACCAUCUAGUAGCUGGUCCUGCCGAAGUUUCCCUCAGGAUAGCAGUAACGGUUUCGGUUUAUGAGU
Molecule: ribosomal RNA, 859 nt
Filed under: Pseudocercospora macadamiae
Lineage: Eukaryota; Fungi; Ascomycota; Dothideomycetes; Mycosphaerellales; Mycosphaerellaceae
Description: eukaryotic LSU rRNA
Rfam family: Eukaryotic large subunit ribosomal RNA
Source: RNAcentral